Molecule: ribosomal RNA, 601 nt
Filed under: Nocardia sp.
Lineage: Bacteria; Bacillati; Actinomycetota; Actinomycetes; Mycobacteriales; Nocardiaceae
Description: bacterial SSU rRNA
Rfam family: Bacterial small subunit ribosomal RNA
Source: RNAcentral
AGUAACACGUGGGUGAUCUGCCCUGUACUUCGGGAUAAGCCUGGGAAACUGGGUCUAAUACCGGAUAUGACCUUCGGUUGCAUGACCGUGGGUGGAAAGAUUUAUCGGUACAGGAUGGGCCCGCGGCCUAUCAGCUUGUUGGUGGGGUAAUGGCCUACCAAGGCGACGACGGGUAGCCGGCCUGAGAGGGCGACCGGCCACACUGGGACUGAGACACGGCCCAGACUCCUACGGGAGGCAGCAGUGGGGAAUAUUGCACAAUGGGCGAAAGCCUGAUGCAGCGACGCCGCGUGAGGGAUGACGGCCUUCGGGUUGUAAACCUCUUUCGACAGGGACGAAGCGCAAGUGACGGUACCUGUAGAAGAAGCACCGGCCAACUACGUGCCAGCAGCCGCGGUAAUACGUAGGGUGCGAGCGUUGUCCGGAAUUACUGGGCGUAAAGAGCUUGUAGGCGGUUCGUCGCGUCGUUCGUGAAAACUUGGGGCUCAACCCCAAGCUUGCGGGCGAUACGGGCGGACUAGAGUACUUCAGGGGAGACUGGAAUUCCUGGUGUAGCGGUGAAAUGCGCAGAUAUCAGGAGGAACACCGGUGGCGAAGGCGG